UACGUAGGGGGCAAGCGUUGUCCGGAUUCAUUGGGCGUAAAGAGCUCGUAGGCGGUUCGGCAAGUCGGGUGUGAAAACUCCAGGCUCAACCUGGAGACGCCACCCGAUACUGCUGUGACUUGAGUCCGGUAGGGGACCACGGAAUUCCUGGUGUAGCGGUGAAAUGCGCAGACAUCAGGAGGAACACCGGUGGCGAAGGCGGUGGUCUGGGCCGGCACUGACGCUGAGGAGCGAAAGCGUGGGGAGCGAACAGG
RNAcentral lists this ribosomal RNA (254 nucleotides) under uncultured bacterium. Its description in RNAcentral is "partial 16S ribosomal RNA". It matches the Rfam family "Bacterial small subunit ribosomal RNA", at positions 524 to 776 of the family's 1533-position model. The record is from RNAcentral.